This 22-nucleotide microRNA is filed under the name Ophiophagus hannah (king cobra). RNAcentral's name for it is "oha-miR-181b-3p". Its record names the gene oha-miR-181b-3p. Lineage: Eukaryota; Metazoa; Chordata; Lepidosauria; Squamata; Elapidae. The record is from miRBase by way of RNAcentral.
CCCUCUGGCUAAUGAAUGCAAA